RNAcentral lists this long non-coding RNA (4291 nucleotides) under Homo sapiens (human). Its description in RNAcentral is "HSALNT0266366". The record is from RNAcentral. Lineage: Eukaryota; Metazoa; Chordata; Mammalia; Primates; Hominidae.
UUAUGGAAACACCUUUAUUUCUUUCAGCGAACACUGCCUGACUUCAGCUGGGUCAAACCAUGGGGGAAUCCAGAUUUGAAUAUUUCAAGGUCUCUGCCCUUGCAGAAUCAGACAGAAACAAGUGACAACAUCGUAGUUAAGUGUGAAAACAGUAUGUUCAGAGAACGGUACAGAUAUGUUAGAAAGUUGGCUUUAGUCAUUAAACCUUAAGUAGAUGUGAUUUUUUUAAAGUUAAUGAGAUUCAUGAGUUUAUUUUCUUGUCAGAAGCACCAACAGACAAACCUAUACAUUUUUGGUGUGUGUUUUUCUGUUUUUUAAUCACAGUGCUUUUAUUAUAGAUUAUCUUCAGAAGUUAGUGCAGGUGGCAUGUGGAAGAUAAACAGGACAGACACUCAACCCUGCCUAGUUUGGGGAUGAGUCACUUUUCAAACUGCACAGUUAUAAGCAAAGUGCAUAUUCAAGAACCAAGUUAACAGGCCACCAGCAGACACCCAGGAAUUCCCAAAGGGACACAUAUAUCCCAUAAACUGCACUGCAAGAUAAUAUAUUCUCAUUGGCUCUGCAUGUCAGCAGGCCUGGGUUUGAAUCUCUGCAGUCUUUCUCCAUCCAGUUCUGUGGCCUUGGGCAAGUUAUGAAACCUCUCACUGACUCAGUGCCGUCAUUUGGACAGCAGGGUACAUAGCAAAUUCAAAGAAUGGAACUGAGAUUAAAUGAGAUCUCUGUAAAGUGCCUAGCACAUAGCAGAUACUCACUAAAUACCAGCCCUCUUUGCCUCCAAAAAGUUUUAGUGUCUAAAGUGUAAAAAGUGCCUCAUUGUUUAUACUUUGAGUGAAAGAAACCUUGGAACAGGGUUUGCCCCUGUAACAAAUGUUCUCUCUCAAUAAUAUUAUCCCCGUUUUCACAUGAAGCUGAGAUUCAGAGAGGUCAGAUUACCUCCCUUGGGUCCAGAUGAUUAAAUAAGAUUACAUUUGCUAAAUAAACUUCCAGCAUAGCAGAUGAUCAGUACAUGUAUAGCUCUCCUUGUCCCUCCCACAUUUAAUUUAUUUGUGUGACUUUGGUUUAGUGAUUGUGUUCAUGCUAGCAUCUUUGGUUUCAUCAUCAUAUCCCCAGUGCCUGGCACAGUCUUGGCACAUGGUAGGCACCCAAUCUGUUGAAUAAAUGACCCGAUCUCCGUAAUUACUUUACUGGAGAAACUCUGAAGACUAAUUUCCCUUUGAGCCCUAAACAAUGUUUGGAACCUGCUCAGGGAGAAUCGGGAAAGACCAAGACAGGAUUUCACCCAAAUAUAUCUAUGCAAGUUAUAAAGAUGCUCAUGGAUAGAGAGCAUGACUUCAGCUGGGCGUGGCAGCAUGUGCCUAUAGUCCCAGCUACUCAGGAGGCUGAGGCAGGAGGAUCAUUUGAGCCCAAGAGUUUGAGGCUGCAGUGAGCCAUGGUUGCGCCAUUGCACUCCAGCUUGGGUGACAGAGCAAGACCCUGUAUAGGAGACUUCAUGACCUUAUUAUUGUCAUUAAGUCACAGAAUCUGCCCAUGUGAUGGGCAGCCCUAACUCAUAGCUCACCUUCCAUUCACCAUCGUUUAAAUCCUGCUGUUCAGUCUCCCAGUAGGGAGGAAAACGUGUUUAAAUUACCAAAAUGUCUUUUUCGUUUGUUUGAGACAGGGUCUCUCUGUUGCCUACACUGGAGUGCAAUGGUGCAAUCUCAGCUUAUUGUAGCCUUGACCUCCUGGGCUCAAGUAAUUCUCCCACCUCAGCCUCCCAAAGUGCUGGGAUUGCAGGCAUGAGCCACUGUGCCUGGCAACAAAAUGUCAAUAAUGGUUACCUCUGGGUAACCAUCAGACUAUGGCAACUUUUGAUUGUCUUUUUUUUUUGAGACAAGGUAACACAGCUAGUUAGCGGCUAACCUGGGAUUAAAGCUCAGGCGGGCUGACCUCAAGGUCCAUGAAUUUUACCACUUUGCUCUACUGCCAGGAAAACUUUGAAGAAGAUUAACGAGCUGGGACUUGUUCUACCAGAUAUUAAAAUGCAUUAGAUAGCUACAACAGCUAAAACAGCAAUUUCAACAAAGAAAUACAGUCCUAUUAAACCAAACAGAGUAUAGAAACAGAGCCAGGUGUAUGAGGAAUUGUAGUGUAUGAUAAAGGUGACAUUUCCAACUGGUGGAGAAAAAGAAGUCAAUAAACAGAAUGGGACUAGCCACAGACUAGCCACUUGGAGAAAAAUUAAGCUAGAGCUCCACCUCUCUCAUUAAAUCUAAAUAAAUUCCACCUAGAUCAAAAAUUUACAUGUGAUAAAAGAAACAAUAAAAGUAUUGAAAGAAACAAAUGGAUAUUUUUAUAAUCCUGGAACUAUUAAUCUUUUAACUAUAUUUUAAUAAUUAGGCAGUUUUCCUAAGCACAAUAUGGAAGUUAAAAAAUCCUUGGGGGCCGGGCGCGGUGGCUCAUGCCUGUAAUCCCAGCACUUUGUGACGCUGAGGCAGGCAGAUCACUUGAGGUCAGGAGUUGGAGACCAGCCUGGACAACAUGGUGAAACCCCGUCUCUACUAAAAUUACAAAAAUUAGCCCGGCAUGGUGGCACAUGCCUGUAGUCUCAGCUACUUGAGAGGCUGAGGCAGGAGAAUCGCUUGAACCCGGGAGACAGAGUUUGCAGUAAGCCGAGAUUGCGCCGUUGCACUCCAGCCUGGGUGACAGAGGGAGACUCCGUCUCAAAAAAAAAAAACAAAAAACAAAAAAAAAACAGGCCUAAACAUGCUAUUAACAAAAGAAGAAAUACAAAUGGAAAUAAAUACUUGAAAAGAUUUUCAGCCUCAUUAGGAAUGGAACUACAGAUUAAAACAAGAUUGAGAUAUUUUUCAAUAGAUCAGAGUGGCAAAGGUUAAAAAGAUUGGCAGAAUUCAGCAAAGAUGGAGGGAAACAGACACAACUCAUGCACUGUUGAUGGGAGUGCAAAUUCAUACAAUUGAUUUGGGAGGCAGGUUAGCAAUAUGUAACAAAAUCAUACUUGCUCUGGGUGUAUCAGGAUUUGAACACAAGUCUGGCUAACACAAGAAAAUUAUAGGCCAACAGUGGUGGCUCACGCCUGUAAUCUCAGCACUUUGGGAGGCUGAGGUGAGAGGACUGCUUGAGCCCAGGAGUUCAAGACCAUCCUGGGCAACACAGUGAGACCCUGUCUCUUUAUAAAAAAUAACAAUUUAAAAGAUUUUAGCCGGCCAUGGUGGCUCACGCCUGUGAUCCUAGCACUUUGGGAGGCUGAGGCGGGUGGAUCACCUGAGGUAGACCAGCCUGACCAACAUGGAGAAACCCCGUCUCUACUAAAAGUACAAAAUUAGCUGGGUGUGGUGGCGCAUGCCUGUAAUCCCAGCUACUUGGGAAGCUGAGGCAGGAGAAUCACUUGAACACGGGAGGCGGAAGUUGCGGUGAGCCAAGAUCACUGUAUUGCACUCCAGCCUGGGCAACAAGAGCAAAACUCCAUCUCAAAAAAAAAAAAAAAAAAAUUAAUAAAAUUAUAAUGGGAAAACCUUUUGAUUUGGUAAUUCAUGUACAGUGAUUUAUUCCAGGAGGAAAUUAAACAAGCGAACAGUGAUCUUUGUCCAAGGUUGCUUAAUAUAGCAUUGUAUAAAAUGGUAAAAAUCUGGAAGUAGCUUCAAUGACCAUCAAUAGUGUUAAAUAAAUUCUGGUACAAUAUAAUAUAAUAUAAUGCAAGGUACUGAUUUAAAACAAUAAUAUAAAUUUAAAUUAACUGGAUAUAUGUCCACAACAUAUCAUUGAGUGAAAAUAGGACAGGUGAGUAGAAUAAAUUUACAUAUACCAUGAUGGUCAAACUAAAAGAGUUUGCACAAAGAGGUAUCCAAAAGAUAAUCAUUGGCUCUGGGUAACGGAGUUUCCAGUGAUUUGUAAUUACUUUCUUAAAAUGUUUUUGUAUUGUUUGAAUUUUUUACCAUUAGAAGAUGUAACUUUUAUAAUCAAAAUAUUCAGUACCAGCCUAGGCAACAUGGCAAAACCAUGUUUCUUUUUUUUUUCCCGAGACAGUCUUGCUCUGUCACCCAGGUUGAAUUUCAAUAAGUUUCAGAUCAAAAACCUUGGAACUAUUGUUGCUUCUUUUUAUCUCCCCUCUCAUCUCUGAUUAUCAGCAGACAAAAUAAAUCUAAGGCACGUUCCUACUUCUCUGUCCCCACUGCCUGGUCCAAGCUGCCCUCUCUCAUCUGCAUUACCUUUGCCGGCCCACUGCACCUUCCUCACCCCAUCCCCGUGUCCCCAAACCCCCUGCCACUCCAAGCAGUCUCCUCACUUCCCCUUC